GACGAACGCUGGCGGCGUGCUUAACACAUGCAAGUCGAACGGAAAGGCCCUGCUUUUGUGGGGUGCUCGAGUGGCGAACGGGUGAGUAACACGUGAGUAACCUGCCCUUGACUUUGGGAUAACUUCAGGAAACUGGGGCUAAUACCGGAUAGGAGCUCCUGCUGCAUGGUGGGGGUUGGAAAGUUUCGGCGGUUGGGGAUGGACUCGCGGCUUAUCAGCUUGUUGGUGGGGUAGUGGCUUACCAAGGCUUUGACGGGUAGCCGGCCUGUGAGGGUGACCGGCCACAUUGGGACUGAGAUACGGCCCAGACUCCUACGGGAGGCAGCAGUGGGGAAUAUUGCACAAUGGGCGGAAGCCUGAUGCAGCAACGCCGCGUGCGGGAUGACGGCCUUCGGGUUGUAAACCGCUUUCGCCUGUGACGACGCGUGAGUGACGGUAAUGGGUAAAGAAGCACCGGCUAACUACGUG
This 468-nucleotide ribosomal RNA is filed under the name uncultured bacterium. RNAcentral describes it as "partial 16S ribosomal RNA". It matches the Rfam family "Bacterial small subunit ribosomal RNA", at positions 28 to 507 of the family's 1533-position model. The record is from RNAcentral.